GAGGAAAACGAAGCCGACAAGCUUACUGGUGCUCGAGUGACUCCAUUCGAACCAACUAUUUGCUUUCUUUGUUCGAGUGAUUCGAUUCUCUGUUUUUAUUGAGGAACUCUGUUGCAAAGUGACUAUAUAUCAAAACCAUGUUGUCAGAAAAGUGUAAAAAAAAAUCCUAAACUUGUGGACCGGACUUUGUAGUGACUGCGUGUUAUACUUCAGCGCAUUUCAUCUCAUCAUCCCCAAGAGUUUCACCCUGUUUCCUCGCCUCUUCUUUCAUUUCCGUCUGCCAGCGGUGUAAGAGCUUGAAGGCUGGCCCCCGUCAGGUCACUGGAAAAAGCUUCAGUUGUCCAAGUCCUUUUCAAUUUCCUUCAAAAGCCUUAGCUCCAUCUUUUUCUACUUCUGCUUCUCUUUCUUCAAGUCUGGUUGAUCAGGGCCUGCUGGUUUACGCUUCACGGCACAACUAUUGCUGCUGUCUCUUGCGGAUUACAAUUAGCAAACAUUAGAAAACAAAAUCUAGCAUAGCCAUUGACUUACAGCGCUCCAUUAUCUAGUGCAGUCUGGUCGUUGGUGAUAGUCAGAACGGUGCUGGCUUUGGACUUUUCACGUUGGCCAGCCACAUUUUAGGUGCCGUGAUCAAUCCUGCCCGGAGUCUGCAUUCUUGACACAACAGGAAAAUCCAUGCCCGAGUCUCGAACUGGAUCUCCGCAUCGUAGAGAAGUAGGAUCAUGCUGGAUAUCAUGAGGCAAUAAUGCGUCAUACCCCAACUUGAGUCUCUGCAGUACCUGUUGUUCCUCGUCAAGGAGUAGCAAGUUAACGUUGUUGAUCAUUGAGUAUGCUCAAAUCGUUUUCGAG
This 846-nucleotide long non-coding RNA is filed under the name Selaginella moellendorffii. RNAcentral describes it as "long non-coding RNA (SMOE_LNC001070)". The record is from RNAcentral. Lineage: Eukaryota; Viridiplantae; Streptophyta; Lycopodiopsida; Selaginellales; Selaginellaceae.